CCGUCUAGACACACUCAUCUUUAUCUCCUUCACCUCAUGAUUUUGUCUUCUUCUCUGUACACACAAAUUAACAGCAACCAAAGCCAGCAGCAACUCGGUGCCAUGAGCGAGGAAGAUGAGAGGGAACACAACACACACAGCUACGGGGAGAGGCGCCAGGAAACCACGGAGCCCCGUGUGUGACAGCAAUGAGAUACGUUGGGUGAAGGACGAUGACAGGAGCCAUUGAAGGUCUGUGAGAGAUGCCCAAGCAGGUCACACGCGAGGGUUGGCGAACAUAUAACAGAUUGAAUUUUCAGAGGAGCUGUAUUGCAUCCUAGUCACCAGCACUACUCAGUAUGGAUCAAAUUUUGCGAUCAAUUAAAAUAAAAAAUGUUGCUGCCUUGAAGAUAAGAACAUGAAGGUGUUUUUGACCUUCUCGAACAAUUAGUUUUGACAUUCAGCCGUUUUUUUCUAAUUCCAACAAGUGAGCUAACUUGACAACAACAUAUAAUACUCGUUUUUUUGCAGCUGAACUGAUGCAUCUAGCGAAGCCGACCCGCAACAAUGGCCAAUUAUUCAGAGGAUAAACACAAACAAGCGAUGAAACUGGAGGUUUGCUGUAGAUAGAAAUAACAGUAGCUUCCGUAAGGUGGUCUCAGGCGGGAGGAAGUUGUGGCCUCGGGAGGUGGCGGAGCCUCACCGAGAGGAGGCGGAAGGUUCCGCCCGAGCUCUGCCACGAGGUGGAGCAGUGGCUUGGAUCCACCGGGGCGGCGACCCGUCGACAGGCAGGGGUUGGCGUCGGCGGGGGUGGCAGGCUAGGUUGGGUCUUGGCGGCAACGCGCUGGGGAAGAUGGCGGCGGCGGCGGUGUGGCGGGGCAGUUGUCGGCGGUGUGGCGGGGCAGUUGUCGGCGGCGGGCGCGGCGGGGCAGUUGGCGACGGCGGCGCA
Molecule: ribosomal RNA, 928 nt
Filed under: Triticum aestivum (bread wheat)
Lineage: Eukaryota; Viridiplantae; Streptophyta; Magnoliopsida; Poales; Poaceae
Description: partial small subunit ribosomal RNA
Source: RNAcentral